GAUGAACGCUGGCGGCGUGCCUAAUACAUGCAAGUCGAGCGAACGGACGAGAAUCUUGCUUCUCUGAUGUUAGCGGCGGACGGGUGAGUAACACGUGGAUAACCUACCUAUAAGACUGGGAUAACUUCGGGAAACCGGAGCUAAUACCGGAUAAUAUUUUGAACCGCAUGGUUCAACAGUGAAAGACGGUCUUGCUGUCACUUAUAGAUGGAUCCGCGCUGCAUUAGCUAGUUGGUAAGGUAACGGCUUACCAAGGCAACGAUGCAUAGCCGACCUGAGAGGGUGAUCGGCCACACUGGAACUGAGACACGGUCCAGACUCCUACGGGAGGCAGCAGUAGGGAAUCUUCCGCAAUGGGCGAAAGCCUGACGGAGCAACGCCGCGUGAGUGAUGAAGGUCUUCGGAUCGUAAAACUCUGUUAUUAGGGAAGAACAUAUGUGUAAGUAACUGUGCACAUCUUGACGGUACCUAAUCAGAAAGCCACGGCUAACUACGUG
RNAcentral lists this ribosomal RNA (497 nucleotides) under uncultured bacterium. RNAcentral describes it as "partial 16S ribosomal RNA". It matches the Rfam family "Bacterial small subunit ribosomal RNA", at positions 28 to 507 of the family's 1533-position model. The record is from RNAcentral.